AAAAUCGUAACAAGGUUUCCGUGAGGUGAACCUGCGGAAGGAUCAUUGUCGAUAUCCUAAAAAAAGGACGACCGCGAACCCGUGAGCAAGAACCUCGGCCCCGGCCGAGCCAACGUCGCCCCGUCCAUGCCCCCCCUUGGGGGCGUGGUGCGGGGAUGGCGAAACGAAACCCCGGCGCGACCCGCGCCAAGGAACACCGUGACAGGCGGCUCGCCCCCGCUGCGUCCAGCGGCGGGGCGACCGCGAGACAUUCGAACCGUACGACUCUCGGCAACGGAUAUCUAGGCUCUCGCAUCGAUGAAGAACGUAGCGAAAUGCGAUACUUGGUGUGAAUUGCAGAAUCCCGUGAACCAUCGAGUCUUUGAACGCAAGUUGCGCCCGAGGCCAUCCGGCCGAGGGCACGCCUGCCUGGGCGUCACGCCAUCGCGUCGCUCCGCGCCCCGCCCCUUGCGGCGGAGGUGAGGAUGCGGAGGCUGGCCUCCCGCGCCUCGGCGCACGGUGGGCUGAAGUGCGAGCUGCCGGCCGUGUCGGUCACGACGAGUGGUGGACGGAAGCGAAAGCCGGACGUCGUGGGCCUCGGCCAAGCAUGCGAAGGACCCUUGCAUCGGGGCUGCGCCCCCGAACUGCGACCCCAGAUCAGGCAGGGCCACCCGCUGAGUUGUAAGCAUAUCAAAAGGC
This 678-nucleotide ribosomal RNA is filed under the name Curculigo capitulata. RNAcentral's name for it is "eukaryotic LSU rRNA". The stretch from base 263 to 418 matches the Rfam family "5.8S ribosomal RNA". Lineage: Eukaryota; Viridiplantae; Streptophyta; Magnoliopsida; Asparagales; Hypoxidaceae. The record is from RNAcentral.